CUGGCUCAGGAUGAACGCUGGCGGCGUGCUUAACACAUGCAAGUCGAACGAUGAUCCCAGCUUGCUGGGGGAUUAGUGGCGAACGG
Molecule: ribosomal RNA, 86 nt
Filed under: Arthrobacter sp. UNCCL28
Lineage: Bacteria; Bacillati; Actinomycetota; Actinomycetes; Micrococcales; Micrococcaceae
Description: 16S rRNA. Bacterial SSU
Rfam family: Bacterial small subunit ribosomal RNA
Source: RNAcentral